This 9189-nucleotide long non-coding RNA is filed under the name Nicotiana tabacum (common tobacco). Its description in RNAcentral is "long non-coding RNA (NTAB_LNC014543)". The record is from RNAcentral. Lineage: Eukaryota; Viridiplantae; Streptophyta; Magnoliopsida; Solanales; Solanaceae.
UUUAUUUGCUGAUUUUAAGACUUGAACCAGGUCUGUUGAAACGUAUACCAUGUGGGUCAGGUUCUUUAUCUAGUUCUUCACAACAAGUUUGUUAGAUCUUCAAAACAUAAAAAGCAUAAGGCAAAGGCAUUAAAACCCCAUCAAAGUCGCAACUCGAUAAGAAUAACCGCUUUCAUACCAGGUUUUAUCCAAAAAUCUCCACAAGGUACCGAACCUCAAAGUAUUCACAACUCAUGGGUCCCAAUUCGUGAACCCUAAUCAUUUGGCAUCUUGUGCGCUCAUUAUAGCUAGUAACUACACGGACAAUUCACGUGCCAAUAGAAAAAUUCUCAUAUGGAAGGCAAGUAGACUAAGGUAUGUAUGAAUGAUCAAUAACAUCAGGACUGAUCUUCUAAAAUGAUAGGGGUGAUUAAUUACGUGUAUGUUUGGUGCGAGUGUCCUAUCACAGUUCAGACCAACGAGUAAGAGUAGAGGAAAUGAACGGCACAUAAGAAAUGAUCCCCACGAUUUGCACAAGGUAAAAUUCACACAAGUUAGGAACGUCACUACAUAAAUAUCAACAACAAAAAUGCCCCCAGGUCAUCACAAGUCAUCACAAAUCAAUCCCCAAUAUAGCCCACAUUGUCUCGCCACGUGCUCAAUAGUAAAGUAAAUACCCCUUAUCUCGCCGCACGUGCAUAGAAAUGUUCCUACUUUGUCUCACCAUAUGCGCAACACACAGAUAUAGCUUGCAUUAAUACGCCGCAUGUGCAACAUCAAUAGUAAUAAUACUAGGGCAUAAACCACGUGCAAACACCCGAACAAAUCCUCCCAACAAUAACACGAGCCAUAAACACAACAACACAAUAGAAUAACCUUUAGAACAUGUGCCCAUAUUCCACAACAUUUCCUCUAACUAGUGUCAAUACCAUAACCGCACAUAGCCCUCGGCUCAACAGACUAAGUACAACAGCAGCAACAACAAUAAUAACACGAGAAUACGACAAGUAAAUCAACUCAAGAGCUUUGGAACACAAAGAAGCGGUAGAACGAGCUUACAAAGAAUAAACACAAUAGAGAAUACUAGUUACAAUAGGAAUCGCUUAACAAGGGAGAAAUAAUAUGUAACAGAAGAUUCCACAAAGGUAUAAUUCGACAACAAAGGAGAUAACAUGAGUAAUAAUUUCAAAAUAAGGAUGAGACAACUAUAAUAAAGGAUAACUAAACUCCAUUUAGGGUUGAGCAAUUUCGAAAAGGAUACAACAAAUUCAAUUAAGGAUAAGCAAUGAAAAAGAUAAUCAUAACCUCAAUUAAGGAUAAAUAAUUACAGAAGAGAUAAUAAUAAUUUCAAUUAAGGAUAAGCAAUUAGGAAAGGAUAGUAUGGAAAUCGAAGAGGAAACAACUUCAGUCAAGGCACCCAUGAGUCAAUUAGGCAAUAAGGGUGUUACAUGAAGCAAUUAAUUCCAACUAAGAUACGUAGAGGUGAAACUUGUAAAUGGGGAAUUUAACAUAACAAAACAACUUCAUAUCUAAUGAACAUAAGAAAUUGGGAACUUUAAAAGGUCAACUUUCAACAAAUAAGCCCGAGUACGCACUCAUUACCUCAUGUGCACGGACUUCACAUGACACAAUUAGCACCAAGGACUCAAAUCCUAAAGGGUAGUUCCCCCACACAAAGGUAGGCAAGAUAAUUACCUCAAAGAAUAUAGACCAUACUCUAAAAUGAACUUCUCGAGCGAAAUAACCUCCGCACGGCUCAAAUUCAGCCAAAAAAACUUCAAAUCAUAAAUAAAACUCAUAGGAAACAAUCCCGGAUAAUAAAGUCUCAAUCUUUAACAAAAACUAAAAGGUCAACCCAAAAGUAAACCCCUGGGCCCGCACCUUGAAACCCGAUAAAAUUUAUAAAACCUGAAUACCCACUCUGAUACAAGUUCAACCAUACCAAAAUUAUCAAAUUCUGAUACCAAUUUGCCCCUCAAAUCAUUAUUUUACAUUUGAAAGUUUUCUUAAAAAAUUCUCACUUUCCCUCAACUCAAAACACUAAUUAUAAGAUACAAAUAAAGAUAGAAUCAUGGAAUAUAAUAAAUUUCGGGUGAAGAACAGAUGCUCCAAUGAUUUUCUUGAAAAACCCACGAAGAAUCGCUCCAAACCGAGCUCUACAACUCCAAAAAUGAUAAAAAUGGCUAACCCUCUAAAUAGAGUACUUUUAUAUUCUACCAGGUGUUUGUACACCGCGAUCGCGUAAGAGGAAUUGCGAUCGCGAAGAAGGAAAGAUCAACUGCUAGAAAUUGUACUACGUGAUUGCGGACAGGUACAUGCGAUCGUGAAGAAGGAAAGCACUGAUGCCCCAAGAAAUGUACUACGUGAUCGCGAAACAGAGGAUGCGAUCGCGAAAGGGAACCAGCUGUUGGGCUAUGCUACGCAAAUGCGGACCGGUAAAAGCAAAAGCAUUGAAUGGGGAUGCACACUUAUGAGAUCCCUGGCAAUAGUAUGCGAAUGUGAAGAACAAAUAUUCUUGCCUCCAAAAUUACACUAUGCGAACGCGAUUAAGAAAAUCAAAUACCAGCAAAACAGCAGUCCAACAACAAGGAGAAAUGGCCCCUAGGCCUUCCGAAACACACUCGAGGCCCCCAGGAACCCGUCGAAACAUGCCACAAGUUCCAUAACAUACCACCGACUCGUUUGAGGGCUCAAAUCACAUCAAACAAAGUCAAAACUACGAAUCGCGCUAAGAAUCGAACUUAUGAACUUUCAGUUCUUCCAACUUCCAUAACUCAUACACAAACAUACCAAAUUAACUCGGAACGACGUUAAAUUUUUGUAUCAAGUUCCAAAUGAUAUAACGGAGCUAAUCCAACUCUCAGAAUCCCAUUCCAACCCCGAUAACACCAAAGUCAACUCUCGAUCAAACCUCUCAACCUUCCAAAACUUUAACUUUUUCAAUUUUUGCUGCAAUACUUCAAAUUACCUUACGGACCUCCAAAUCCGAACGCACGUCUAAGUCCAAAAUCACCAUACUAAGCUAUUGGAACCAUCAAAAUCCUAUUCUAGAGUCGUUUACACAAAAGUCAAAUUUCGAUCAACUCUUACCGCUUAAGCUUCUAAAAUAAGAAUCCUUCUUCCAAAUUGACCCUGAAUCAUCCGAAAACGACUCGGCCAUACAUGCAAGUCAUAACACAAUAUACGAAGCUGCUCGAGACCUUAGGCCACCCGGUAUCAGCCUCUACCUACCGUAACAACUUAUACCUACAUCCACAAAAUACAACCACACGUCGUGACACAUCACUCAUAUGCCCAUAAUAACAUUUCUAAUCACAAUAGCUGCCCCUAAUCAAAUCCAGCACCAGUAAUUAGCCUCAUACCCGUUAGAACCAUGUUUCAACCCUCCACAAUAUUGACAAUGAUACAAGAAACAUGAAGAUCUCAUAACUAUUCACCCGAAUCAACAAGUCACCUCUAACGCCACCGGGGCACACACCACGUUAGCUAAAACUCAAUAAGCACAACACGAAAAUGACUGAAUAUGUAAGCAGAAAAAACAUAAGAGAAGUAUCAAACAAGCCUAACAGGCACAAUCCCUAUUAGUACCAUUUUACGAAUCAAUUUAACAAGGAAGAAUGCACAAUCAUAAGGAACUCAUCCUGAUAUAACUUCCACCACGGCAUGCAGCCCGGUUCAAACACAUCAAAUUAUAUGAAACUGCGAGGGUCUCACCUUCCACUCUGAAUCACAAGUGGAAUACACAUCAUACUAACCAAAACCUUCCACUAAUUCUAUUCCGCAAAUAAAAAAAAUCACAACACUUACUGAACUCCCACACUGGUAGAGCAUCUUAAUCACAUAUCGUAGCUAAUCACUCGGAGGUCACAUUAAAACCUACCAUAAUGGGUAAUAGAGGCACUUCUAGUCUCAUUAAUCUCAAUAAUGAAUAAAAAUAGAACAAUAGGCACAGGCUAUCACUAUAGGAUCUCCUAACAAGGGUAAACACACAAAUAAAGUACUAAAUCAUGAAACUCACCCACAUGUGAAGAAAAAUAGGAGGACUUACCCCGAUAAGAAGAACCGAAACAAAAUACGAAUGGUUCUCCUCUAUUAACAAAUUGAAAGCAUACUUGUACGAUGUCAUAUGGUGCAGUAGCCUCCGCCCUACUAUAGAAAACACAUCAACAGGUCGGGCCUCCCCCUUUUGGGUUCCCUCUACUCCCCUGACAUGUACCCCAAACUGGCGGUGCAGGGAUAUUAACAACCCUAAUCAAAAUCAUAGCCUCAAUACCCCACUCUGACACAUCUGUCCGGAGUCUAGGACAAUUUCUUACCAUGUGGAUGGCAUCUCCACACUUGAAGCAACCUCUUUGCUAAUGUGGUUGAGGAAACAAUGCGGUAUGGGUACUCUAAGACCCAUGAGUACCUGAAAUACCAUAUGAAUCCUGAAGUCCAAACUGAACUGGCUGACCCACAAAACCUCUACCAUGUCGUACCCUACCUCAAAAAUAAGAACCAGUAGAUCUCUCCGGUCCGUGAGGCCUCUUAGCCUCCCUGUCACCUCUCUCUUGAUCUCGCAUGUCCUCCCUCUCCUGGCUUCACAUGUCCUUUCUCUCCUGGUCUCACAUGCCCUCUAAUUGGCGAGCGAUCUCUACCACCUGCUAAAAUGGAACAUCUGAUUCUAACUCCCAAGCUAUGCUGAACCGGAUAUCAUGUAUGAGCCUCUCAAUGAAUCUACGAACUCGCUCUCUAACUAUAGCAGCCAAAACAGGUGCAUGUCUGGACAAAUCGUUGAACCAAACGGCAUACUCUGACUGUUACACCUUAUGUUUUUCGUGGGCGAGUGUACGCCGUAAGUCAAUUGAUAUAAACUCUGAAAUAAGAUUAUAUUUGGAAACAUAUAAAGUAAGUUAAUCAUAUUACCUUGGAGGUUACGAAUAUUUAAGAUCAUGAAUAACGAGCACCAAGAGGGUUGGAAAGUUUAGAAGCUAAACCAAUUGAAGAAAAUAAGUUUCAUCGAAAGUCGACAAGUUUGGAAUGUUAUAACAUGUAUCUUAGGGUGAGACUAUGGUUCUUAACAUGAUAAUGAGGUUAUGUUAUGAGUUAAUUUAGUCGUAUGGUAAAUGUGUGCUAGGUUUUGAAGUCAAACGAGUUGUGGAACAAAAGUUGGCAAAGGUCAUCACUAGUUACAUUCAUAAAUGUGCUGAACAUUAUGGCAAAUGUAGUUGAGCUUUUAUCCAAAUAUAAUUGGAACUAUUGGGUUAUAUACCUAUCAAAUGGAAUAUCUAUGAGUCUAGUUUCUAACGCAUUAAACGGUUUGUCGAUAUGAUAUUGGACUAGAGAGAUAUUCGCAUUUUUGCGACACUGCGCAAGCAACUCCUAUGGGAUCCACAAAAUCGAUUUAAACUUCAGUUUGUCUUUUUAACUCAUUUUUACAUCCACAACAGUUCCUAAAUCCUCCUAAAAUCCUCUCCAAGGGUUCCUCCAUGAUUCUAGGGUAAAAACCUAAGAUAAAAACAUGACGCUAGAAAUCCUGUGGUGCUUGCUAGAUCGUAUUUCUUCAUCUUGUGGCUGGUUUGGAGGGUUCUUCAAAGGUAAGUAUCCUCAAAUUUUGUCUUGUUAUUUAUUAUUAAGAUAAGAAUUAGUACCUCCUUCAUGUAUAUUAGAGCUUCAAGGCGAAAUACAAGUGUUUAUACACCAACAUGAACACAAAGGUUAAUUCAAGAAAAGAAUACAACUCGUACAAUGUUGUGGUGUGAUUAAGGGUUUUGUGAGCUACACCAGCUGGGGAUUUCAAGUUGUAUCUACAACCUAAGGUAAGUAAAUCAUGUUCUUGGUUAUUCUUAAGGUCAAUUGUGUGCUGGUUGAGUUGUUUGAGUGAUAAUCUACAUGAAAGUAAUUGACAUGGCAUAAGGAAUCAUUAUUUUUUUGUGGGCUGUAUUGAGCCUAUAUAUAUGGUUUGUUGUGGCUGGAAAUUAUUAUAAAUAGUUUUAUUAUGAUGUGGCUGUUGUUGUUAAGCUUAUCCAUGUGCUGAUUCAGUGGAUUGAAGAAGAUAAUAUGAAAAAUAAGAUGUUGAUGAUAAAGGUUAAGGUGCUAGGUGUGUGGACUAUAUUUGAAAAUUAUGCUUAUGAUGUUUUGUGUUGAAAUAUGGUAAGCAUAAGUAUGAUGUUAUAUAUGUUGUAGGAAGAUUCAUGGAAAAGGAAUUGGAUUUAAACUGUAUUUUGUUAAUCGUAAAUCGAGCUUGCCUCUCAAAAUGGUUGUUGAACAAAUCGAUGAGCUUAUUGUGAAUUAUAUUGUUGUUGUUUGGGCUGUUUGGUGACUUUUAGUAACAUAAGGUAUGUAGUAUAAAUAGGUGAGGUACUGUCCGUUUUCUUGUAAAAUGUUGGUUUCCAAAUAUGAGUUACAACGCUUAUAUAAUGACGACGAAGUCGGUUUUCUCAUUGUAGACGUAAAAAGAUCAUAUUGAGCUUGCUUCACGAAUGGAUAGAAGAUUCAAAGGUAUGUUAAGGCACUUCCUUAUUUCUUUUUGCAUUAUCUAAAGUGAAAUGAAUACACUAUUUCAUAACGGAUCUACUCCUAGCAACUAAGGUUGUCCAUGUUGUUCUUUCCUUAUAAAAUUAUUCUAAGCAAGUGUGUAUGAUCCUUGAAUCCUACUGAGGUUCAUAUUGAGGGUAUGAAUGUCCAUAAUGUUAAUCGAAGGUGUAACGACCUUAUGUCACUCCAAAAGGUUUAGAACGUAAUUCUAUGAGUCUAGCAUGCAUUAUAUAUAGUAUCUAUUUCACUCUACCUAGCCGCGCUAUGGUCGACCGGGGUACGGCACCUAUUGUGCAACCACUGAUCAGUUGGGUUUAUCAAGCUCCACGUGGCCAAGUACGAUUCUAUCGAGCCUUAUGAUGGCCGGGUACAUUUUUACCGAGCCCUCUUUGAGGCCGUGUAUGAUAUGAUGAUGAUGAUGCCCACAGAGGCAUAUGUUUUUAAGGGUUUAUGUAUAUAUAUGUAUUAUGCAUUUCAUGUCAGUAGCCCCUAGAGACACUCAGAUGUUACAGGUUGUAUCUCCUCUAUCUCUCUUUACUUUACUAAUCUUGUUUAUGCUUUCCUGCUUUACAUACUUGGUACUUUAUUCGUACUGAUGUCCCUUUUGCCUCGGGAUGCUGCGUUUCAUACCUGUAGGUCCCGAUAGACAGGUUGGCAUUCCUCCUAGUACACUAUCAGCUCAGCGGUGUCACACCUCCUUUUUCCGGCAAUGAGAUAUAAGGGAGUUUUUCCAAUUUAAGCGACAUAAAUCGAAAUGGGAUUAUUUAAUUUAAUCAAAGUCGUCACUUGGAAUAAUUUAUGGUGUUCCAAGUCACUGAUUUAUUUUAAAAUCCCAAAUCGAGUAAAUUGACUCUAUUUUUUGGUCCGCGAACACAGAAGACUGGGUAAGAAAUUUUGUUAACCCGGGAGAAGGUGUGAGAUACUCCCGAGUUCUGUGGUUUUAGCACGGUCGCUCAACUAUUAAUAAUUGGCCUAAUUAUCUGAUUAAUUACAUAUUUUAAAUCUAUUGUGCAUUUUUAAAUUUAUAACCGCUUUUAUUUAUUUAUGAAAUUUAUUUUUGAAAAAAGUCACGAUGUCGUACACUUGUUGUUUUGGUACACGUCACAAACCACGCCAUAUGAAAUGUACCCGCGAUUUAUGAUAUAUUUUUAUUUUUAUUAUUGUUCGAAGUUAUGGUCGGGUCACAUGAAAUUCACACCCGAAUUGAAAUUUACGUAUCGUGACCAUGCCACGGGAACCGUACUCAUAGCCAUGAUGAUUUAUUUACGCGCCUUAAACACACUAUGAUAUUCAGUUUUUGUAAUCGUAAUUAUGUUACGUGAAUGUAUACAUAAUUGCGAUAAUUUAAAAUGCGAACUAACUAUUCUUAGAAGGAAUCCAUCAAUAACCAAUUUCAACAAGUCAAAAUCAACAAUUAUAAAACCUCAUAUGAAACGAAUUACACAUAUAUAUACGAUUAUGACUCAUAAUUAGCCAAUAUAGUAAUUUGAAAAACCAGAAGCUUAGGAGAUAACAAACAUACACAGUACCUAAAAAGUUGGCUCCCUAUUUAAACUCUUGGUUGAGUUUUUGGCAGAACACUGUGUCGAAGGAUAAGAAGAAAGAUGAACACACUGCAAAUCCUAAAAUCAUCAAAUGCCCCGUUAUUAUGAGUUUACUUCUUUUUUAAAAAAAAAAACUAAAACCACAACCCAUUAAUGUUUCCACAAGUUUUUAAUUUCUAACAAACAACACAUGGACCAUUAUUACUAAUCACCUCAUGAUUCAAUAAAACUUUGCAAUGUCCAUGAAACGGAGAAGAUGCAGUAAACGAACAUGAGACAACACCAAACCAAAUAUAAGACACUCAAAAAUAAUUAAGCUAAAAGCAAAUGAAAUAUACAAAGCAAAAGGGAAAAUAUUUACAAGAAACUAAACAGAAAAAUAAAUCAAAGCAUUAAUUAAUAGACAUUCCAACUAAAACAAGCUUAAUACCAUUGAAAUAGAAGAUGGAGAAACAGACCUACCUCAAACCAAACUUUAUUUACGAGGAAAAUUCAAGCAAAGUUUUGUACAUAUAUGAUGAUUGUUCAGCUGUCAAAGACCAAAACAGCAAUCAUUUUGGAGCCAAAAACGCGAACAGGAUUUCGAACCGGAACUAUAGCGUCACUCAAAACAUCGACCAAAUUUCGGCAAAUUUUCAGCUGGAUUUAGAGGUCCCACGGCAGACUGGUUUUUGUUAUUUUGCUGAGUUUUCGAAGGUGAAAGGAGAUGGCUAGAGAUGGUAAAAUUAUGGCAAAACGCUGGCAGGAAUGAGCUAGUAAAAAAUGAUUUUAUGGCUUUAAAUAGACUGGUUUUUAGAAGCGGAACAUAGCUUGAUUAAUGCGAUGCUGUAAUAGCUGCUUUGUGUACUACAUUGGAGUCACGUUCAUGGAGUUCAGGUGGUUUAAUAGAGGAAAAAUGAUAGGUUUAUACAAUCAAAUCUAAUCUUAUGAAGAAUAGAGGAAAUUGCGGUGCAUUUCUUUGUCCAGCUCCUCCAUUCAAGCUGUUGCGCCAGCUUUUUCAGAUGUAAUGGUUUUAUAGGGUUUUAAUUAAUUGGGCUGGGUAAAUUCUUACUAGGCCUUUUGAAGUAUUUGAGCUUUUAACUUGUGCUGGGCUUUCUUUUAAAAGACAAUAAGUAAAUAAACAACAUACUACUCUAAAUUAAAGAUACCA